This 253-nucleotide ribosomal RNA is filed under the name uncultured bacterium. RNAcentral's name for it is "partial 16S ribosomal RNA". It matches the Rfam family "Bacterial small subunit ribosomal RNA", at positions 524 to 776 of the family's 1533-position model. The record is from RNAcentral.
UACGAAGGGGGCUAGCGUUGUUCGGACUUACUGGGCGUAAAGCGCACGUAGGCGGAUCUGUAAGUUGGGGGUGAAAUCCCAGGGCUCAACCCUGGAACUGCCUUCAAGACUGCAGGUCUCGAGGUCAGGAGAGGCGAGUGGAAUUCCGAGUGUAGAGGUGAAAUGCGUAGAUAUUCGGUGGAACACCAGUGGCGAAGGCGACUCGCGGGACUGAUACUGACGCUGAGGUGCGAAAGCGUGGGGAGCAAACAGG